UAAAAAUUACAGCUGAACGGGUUUGAUUUAUAAAUCAAAGUUUGAUUUAUAUCCAAGUUGUUCCAAAUACGAAUUUUUGCAAUUAGUUAAGUACAGUUAAUCAAGAAGUUCCACUGUUUAUCUGGGAGUCUGUCCCACUUUGCUAAGAGACCCUCUGUAGGACAGCUGCCCCCUCUUCUUGUUCUGAGCUGAACCGUGUUUGACACAACGCAUGCUUCCCACUUUCUCUCUGUCCACCGGUGAACUUGCUUCUUCCUACCUACCUGAAACAUCUGAAUGGAUCCGACGAGAAUGUUCGCCCUUCAGAACUGCAGGAUGUCACAGUCACCCAUGUCACUACUCACCGUGAGUCACUACUCACGGGUCACCCAUCAGCCGGCGUCUGUACCCACAGCCUAGUGGGUCCUGGGGCGGUUUACAGCCCAGCCGCUGGCAACCUCAGCUGUCAGUCCUCUCUGGGAAUUUCCUCAGCUGAAGAGAACGAUUGAGAAGAAGGCCACGCCUCCUUUCUGGGCAGCCACAGCCCUGAUUGGUCAGGGGGUUUGUAAACGCCCAAUCUCUUCACCUAAAAUGGGGGUGAGGAGGGAAGCGCCCUUUCGCUCUCCGCCUGACUCUGCGGCCGGUCCUUCCUGAACCAGGUCUUGGCGCUGCUGUUAUCAGAAGGAAUCUUAAGGAUCAGACUGACCCAGCCUUGACAUUCCUGACUCUGGUGAUCUUGCUGGCAUUUGUGUCUAGGACAAUGCAUCACUCUUAGACUAAAGAAGAAUCUAUUACACCAAUUCCAUCACCUAAAAUAUCAAAGUCCCCAUUCUGGCAAACUGGGAAUACGAAUGAAAGAGCAGCUAAUCACAAAGGUUUAAGACAGGUUAGGUAAAUGUCAAGGGUCAAGUGUGAGAGAAAAAUAUAAAAGUUCAACAAAAAAUGUUAAGCAGAGACAGACGAUAGUUGGAGGUAGGAUUUUGAUAUCUGAGGAAUCAUCUGGUAUUGGCCAUCUUUUAAGGUUUAAGGAUCUGAAAAACUGAUUCUUAAAAAAUAUUUGAAAAUAGUUCAACCUAUUCAUGACCCCUAGGAUACUGCGUGGAUUGGCUUCUGAUGCUUCUUCCCUCUUUUGACAUCUUCCCCAGAAAGUUCUGACCUGACCGUUCUUAACUAUGCUAUCUACACCUCUUGCUGUUGUUCCAACUUGAAAAUCACAUCUGGCUCGACAAUAUCAGAGAACUGGAUGACGGAACACAGCUCCUAACUGCUUAGACUUCAGAAAUCCCCCAAAUAAAGAAGGUAGAACUUCAGCGUC
This is a long non-coding RNA of Neofelis nebulosa (Clouded leopard), 1294 nucleotides long. RefSeq lists it as uncharacterized. NCBI's taxonomy places the organism in Eukaryota, Metazoa, Chordata, Mammalia, Carnivora, Felidae. The record is from RefSeq and is a predicted model, not a curated record. The transcript is spliced from 2 exons.